This is a long non-coding RNA of Equus quagga, 1118 nucleotides long. RefSeq lists it as uncharacterized. Lineage: Eukaryota; Metazoa; Chordata; Mammalia; Perissodactyla; Equidae. The transcript is spliced from 2 exons. The record is from RefSeq and is a predicted model, not a curated record.
AGGGCACCUUCAGCCCCGGGCAGGCACUCAUCUCAGAUCCUGCCCUGUCUGGCCCCACCCCUGCCAGCCCCUCAGACCACUGUGAGCACGUGGCAGGGGCUGUUGAGUCCCGGUCCAGCCUCCAUGCUCUCAGGACAGCACUGACAGCAGGGGUGUGGCUCCUGCUCCUCAAGACAGCCCUGAGAGGACCUGGGCCACCAGUCCAAGCUGAGCCUCUCCAUCCUGCCUCUCAGCUGUCUCCUGCUCCUCGCCGCCUCCACCUCAGGAGGGACCAGAAUGAAAAGGCUGCUGGAUUCGGACAGUUUGCUGCCCGGGCCGGGCACAUGCUGCUCCCAAGAGUUGUGGAGAUCAGGCGUCUUGGAGCAGUGAGGUCGGCCCAUGCCUUACACUUGCCAAACUGAGCUCCACAGACUGCGUCUGUCCCACUCACCCCCAGCCUGACACAGGGGACAAACAGUGUCGCCUGAAGAAGGGGGCACGUGUUGGCCAGGUGAGCAAGGAGCAGGGUUUCUGAGCUCCCUGGGGGCCCAAAGGGGAGGCCUCCCUCCUUCCUGAAUAGUUCAGUCCACGCAGGGUCUGCCCAGGGGUGGUGGGGUGACGGCAGUGGGGUGAAGGCUGCGCUCAGCGCAACUCGUCGAGUGAGUCACUAAGUCAAGGGCGAGGGCAGCCAGGUUUCUCCCGGUUGGAGGGGGACGGCAAUGCGUGUUGGCAAUGGGAGGCACCUGUGUGGACGCAGGGCUGACAUUUAUGACUAGAGACAGGAAUGAGCACAUGUAAGGGUGAGUGCGCACAUGUGCACACAGAAACACCCCUCACUCUAGUCCACAGAAGCAGACACAGCCCGAGUGAUGCGAGCACGCCCUGUCAUGGUCCCUGAGACCUUUCUCCACUCCUAGGAGCCAGGCUCCCUGGAGAGUAGCAGCUUCUAGGGCUGGGAGAGAACAAGAGGGGCCUGGAGCAUCCUGUGUGCCAGAAGGAAUAGAAUGCUCAAAAGACACGUCAAAAGGAUUGAAAAAGUUAACGGUAAAAUCUAGGUUCACUGUAGAGCAUUUCCAACUCUGCUGUAUCUUUGAAGCUUUUUAUAAUAAAACGUUGGAGAUUAAAAAAUUUUCAAAAGG